Non-coding RNA from Paramuricea clavata, 498 nucleotides. Lineage: Eukaryota; Metazoa; Cnidaria; Anthozoa; Malacalcyonacea; Plexauridae. The record is from the annotation of a GenBank genome assembly.
AAAUAUUUAACGAGUGAUUUAACGACAACAAUACAUUAUUUGGUCAUGUAAAUACGAGAAUUUAUCGAUUUGUACGACGUGAAGGAUAUAACAAUGAGCGAGGAGACAGCAAAAAAAAAACGAGAAGGAGGUUGAAAUAGACAAGGAAAUCGAAAAACUAAAGUACUAUCUCGAGCCAAUUGACGAUAUUAUUGAAGAAGGCGAUUACGCAGAGAUCGAAGUUGUAAAGAAACGAACAGACGCCACAUUUGACAAGGUAAAUAAUCUUGUUGCAAGUGUACAAGAGCUUAAAAUUGAUCGAGGAGCUGAAACUCAGAGAGCAAUACGACAAUGGAAAAAGGACACGAAGGAUAAGUACGAGCAAUGGGUGCCUAAAAUGAACAAGCUUUCGCGAAUUCAGUCUUGAAAAAAGGCAGAGGGAAAUUGACGACGAAGCAGAGCGACGACCUAAGGGCCGGUCAUAAAGUAUUUACUAGGGGGUGUGGACGAUAUUUUUGG